UUUAAGUUUUAAACACUAUUAAUUCGAUGUAAAGACAACCCGAGCUUUAUAUGUUUUAAAAUGAUCAAAUAAUUUUCUAUUUCUUCCAUACAAAGGGAUAAAAAUAUGGCUAAAGCUAUGAAGUUUAUUUAUGCUAUAAUCAUUUUUAUUUCCAUAUUUAUUAUUGCAACGAAUGUUCAUGGUAAGUCAUUAUUUUGUAUUUUUUUUAAUUUUUCUUCAUAGCUUUUUGUAUAAUAUUUUUUUUUCUCUUUUUUUGAACAUUCUUAUAUUUUCAUUUUUCAUUUUUUAUUGUAGCUUUUAAUGAAUGUAGUGAAGACGAUGAUUGUCCUAAAGCUAUGUGCUUUAAAGGUUAUGUUGCAAAGUGUAUUAAUAACAGCAGAUGUGCAUGUGUUGAUGAAGAUGAUGAUUUACCCUAAUUCUAUUCAAUGAGUAAUCGUAUAGUUAUUGUCUAAGAUCCAAUAAUUAUAUAUUUUUUUUUAUAUAUAUUUUCUGUAAUAAUUUUAAGGACCUUCCAAUAGAGAUUUUGUACUAUAUAUAA
This 538-nucleotide long non-coding RNA is filed under the name Trifolium pratense (red clover). RNAcentral's name for it is "long non-coding RNA (TPRA_LNC009839)". The record is from RNAcentral. Lineage: Eukaryota; Viridiplantae; Streptophyta; Magnoliopsida; Fabales; Fabaceae.